CUGUUUGAGCGUCAUUUCAACCCUCAAGCCUAGCUUGGUAUUGGGUGUUACCGGGCAAUGGUACACCUUAAAAUCAGUGGCGGUGCAUCUGGCUCUAAGCGUAGUAAUUUAUCUCGCUAUUGGGUCCGGUGGUUGCUUGCCAAUAACCCCCAACUUCUAAGGUUGACCUCGGAUCAGGUAGGGAUACCCGCUGAACUUAA
This 200-nucleotide unclassified non-coding RNA is filed under the name soil metagenome. RNAcentral's name for it is "partial contains internal transcribed spacer 2 and large subunit ribosomal RNA". The record is from RNAcentral.